CCUACGGGUGGCAGCAGUGGGGGAUAUUGCACAAUGGGGGGAACCCUGAUGCAGCGACGCCGCGUGUGGGAAGACGGUCCUCUGGAUUGUAAACCACUGUCCCCAGGGACGAAGAUGACGGUACCUGGGGAGGAAGCUCCGGCUAACUACGUGCCAGCAGCCGCGGUAAUACGCAGGGAGCGCGCGUUGUCCGGAAUUACUGGGUGUAAAGGGAGCGUAGGGGGGGAUGCAAGUUGGGGGUCAAAACUACGGGCUAAACUGGUAGGCGCACUCAAAACCGCAGCUCGUGAGUGAAGUAGAGGCAGGCGGAAUUCCUAGUGUAGCGGUGAAAUGCGUAGAUAUUAGGAGGAACACCAGUGGCGAAGGCGGCCUGCUGGGCUUUUACUGACGCUGAGGCUCGAAAGUGUGGGGAGCAAACAGGAUUAGAUACCCGGGUAGUC
This 440-nucleotide ribosomal RNA is filed under the name uncultured bacterium. Its description in RNAcentral is "partial 16S ribosomal RNA". It matches the Rfam family "Bacterial small subunit ribosomal RNA", at positions 338 to 795 of the family's 1533-position model. The record is from RNAcentral.